CGCGCCAUUCCUUUACACUUAUCUUAGUUUAUAACUUUAACACAAAGAUCCGUUAAUGAAGUUUUAGUCUGCCUACAAAAGACACUUAUAGAAGUUUUAACUUCGUCCGAGCAUGUCUCAACUACCAAUCAAGAAAACGUAGUCAUAUUUUUUUAAAGUGAUGAAAUAUAUUGAAAACAAAUUCUAAUAUCCUCAACGUGUUCAUCGGUUAAUAACUCACAGUAAAACAUCAAAAUU
Molecule: long non-coding RNA, 237 nt
Filed under: Mytilus galloprovincialis (Mediterranean mussel)
Lineage: Eukaryota; Metazoa; Mollusca; Bivalvia; Mytilida; Mytilidae
Source: RNAcentral